Molecule: ribosomal RNA, 887 nt
Filed under: uncultured bacterium
Lineage: Bacteria
Description: bacterial SSU rRNA
Rfam family: Bacterial small subunit ribosomal RNA
Source: RNAcentral
UGCAAGUAGAACGCUGAAGGAGGAGCUUGCUUCUCUGGAUGAGUUGCGAACGGGUGAGUAACGCGUAGGUAACCUGCCUGGUAGCGGGGGAUAACUAUUGGAAACGAUAGCUAAUACCGCAUAAUAGUAGAUGUUGCAUGACAUUUGCUUAAAAGGUGCAAUUGCAUCACUACUAGAUGGACCUGCGUUGUAUUAGCUAGUUGGUGGGGUAACGGCUCACCAAGGCGACGAUACAUAGCCGACCUGAGAGGGUGAUCGGCCACACUGGGACUGAGACACGGCCCAGACUCCGACGGGAGGCAGCAGUAGGGAAUCUUCGGCAAUGGACGGAAGUCUGACCGAGCAACGCCGCGUGAGUGAAGAAGGUUUUCGGAUCGUAAAGCUCUGUUGUAAGAGAAGAACGAGUGUGAGAGUGGAAAGUUCACACUGUGACGGUAUCUUACCAGAAAGGGACGGCUAACUACGUGCCAGCAGCCGCGGUAAUACGUAGGUCCCGAGCGUUGUCCGGAUUUAUUGGGCGUAAAGCGAGCGCAGGCGGUUAGAUAAGUCUGAAGUUAAAGGCCGUGGCUUAACCAUAGUACGCUUUGGAAACUGUUUAACUUGAGUGCAAGAGGGGAGAGUGGAAUUCCAUGUGUAGCGGUGAAAUGCGUAGAUAUAUGGAGGAACACCGGUGGCGAAAGCGGCUCUCUGGCUUGUAACUGACGCUGAGGCUCGAAAGCGUGGGGAGCAAACAGGAUUAGAUACCCUGGUAGUCCACGCCGUAAACGAUGAGUGCUAGGUGUUAGACCCUUUCCGGGGUUUAGUGCCGCAGCUAACGCAUUAAGCACUCCGCCUGGGGAGUACGACCGCAAGGUUGAAACUCAAAGGAAUUGACGGGGGCCCGCACA